GCUCAGGAUGAACGCUAGCUACAGGCUUAACACAUGCAAGUCGAGGGGAAACGAUAGAGAAAGCUUGCUUUUUCUAGGCGUCGACCGGCGCACGGGUGAGUAACGCGUAUCCAACCUGCCCAUCACUUGGGGAUAACCUUGCGAAAGUAAGACUAAUACCCAAUGACGUCUCUAGAAGACAUCUGAAGGAGAUUAAAGAUUUAUCGGUGAUGGAUGGGGAUGCGUCUGAUUAGCUUGUUGGCGGGGUAACGGCCCACCAAGGCGACGAUCAGUAGGGGUUCUGAGAGGAAGGUCCCCCACAUUGGAACUGAGACACGGUCCAAACUCCUACGGGAGGCAGCAGUGAGGAAUAUUGGUCAAUGGACGAGAGUCUGAACCAGCCAAGUAGCGUGCAGGAUGACGGCCCUAUGGGUUGUAAACUGCUUUUAUAAGGGAAUAAAGUGAGUCUCGUGAGACUUUUUGCAUGUACCUUAUGAAUAAGGACCGGCUAAUUCCGUGCCAGCAGCCGCGGUAAUACGGAAGGUCCGGGCGUUAUCCGGAUUUAUUGGGUUUAAAGGGAGCGUAGGCCGGAGAUUAAGCGUGUUGUGAAAUGUAGACGCUCAACGUCUGCACUGCAGCGCGAACUGGUUUCCUUGAGUACGCACAAAGUGGGCGGAAUUCGUGGUGUAGCGGUGAAAUGCUUAGAUAUCACGAAGAACUCCGAUUGCGAAGGCAGCUCACUGGAGCGCAACUGACGCUGAAGCUCGAAAGUGCGGGUAUCGAACAGGAUUAGAUACCCUGGUAGUCCGCACGGUAAACGAUGGAUGCCCGCUGUUGGUCUGAAUAGGUCAGCGGCCAAGCGAAAGCAUUAAGCAUCCCACCUGGGGAGUACGCCGGCAACGGUGAAACUCAAAGGAAUUGACG
RNAcentral lists this ribosomal RNA (903 nucleotides) under uncultured bacterium. RNAcentral's name for it is "bacterial SSU rRNA". It matches the Rfam family "Bacterial small subunit ribosomal RNA", at positions 22 to 915 of the family's 1533-position model. The record is from RNAcentral.